UAUAUGCCUGUGAUGAUGUAUUGAUAUAUAUUGUCCAGGUUCGUUAUGUGACAGGUUAUGUGAUUGCUGCUCUGACAGGUAGCGUUGUUGUAUGUAAUGAGAUAAUCCUGACAGGUCACCAUAGGAAAGGUGAUCAUUUUGUGCAUGCAUCAUGCCAAAAUUUUCAGAAUUUAUUGAUGAUUAAUAGGUAGUAGGGUUCUACGU
This 204-nucleotide long non-coding RNA is filed under the name Phoenix dactylifera (date palm). Its description in RNAcentral is "long non-coding RNA (PDAC_LNC020545)". The record is from RNAcentral. Lineage: Eukaryota; Viridiplantae; Streptophyta; Magnoliopsida; Arecales; Arecaceae.